Molecule: non-coding RNA, 28 nt
Filed under: Rattus norvegicus (Norway rat)
Lineage: Eukaryota; Metazoa; Chordata; Mammalia; Rodentia; Muridae
Source: RNAcentral
GAUGUAACUUGAGAACCACCAAAUGGUA